This 253-nucleotide ribosomal RNA is filed under the name uncultured bacterium. RNAcentral's name for it is "partial 16S ribosomal RNA". It matches the Rfam family "Bacterial small subunit ribosomal RNA", at positions 524 to 776 of the family's 1533-position model. The record is from RNAcentral.
UACGUAGGGGGCAAGCGUUGUCCGGAAUUAUUGGGCGUAAAGAGCGUGUAGGCGGUCCGGUAAGUCGGCUGUGAAAGUCCAGGGCUCAACCCUGGGAUGCCGGUCGAUACUGCCGGACUAGAGUUCGGAAGAGGCGAGUGGAAUUCCCGGUGUAGCGGUGAAAUGCGUAGAGAUCGAGAGGAACACCAGUGGCGAAGGCGAGUUCCUGGACAAUUGCUGACGCUCAGGCACGAAAGCGUGGGGAGCAAAAGGG